AAAUUGAAGAGUUUGAUCAUGGCUCAGAUUGAACGCUGGCGGCAGGCCUAACACAUGCAAGUCGAACGGUAACAGGAAACAGCUUGCUGUUUCGCUGAUGAGUGGCGGACGGGUGAGUAAUGUCUGGGAAACUGCCCGAUGGAGGGGGAUAACUACUGGAAACGGUAGCUAAUACCGCAUAACGUCGCAAGACCAAAGAGGGGGACCUUCGGGCCUCUUGCUAUCGGAUGUGCCCAGAUGGGAUUAGCUAGUAGGUGGGGUAACGGCUCACC
This 272-nucleotide ribosomal RNA is filed under the name Shigella flexneri. RNAcentral's name for it is "partial 16S ribosomal RNA". It matches the Rfam family "Bacterial small subunit ribosomal RNA", at positions 1 to 269 of the family's 1533-position model. The record is from RNAcentral. Lineage: Bacteria; Pseudomonadati; Pseudomonadota; Gammaproteobacteria; Enterobacterales; Enterobacteriaceae.